GCCGAAGUGGCGGAAUUGGCAGACGCGCACGCUUCAGGGGCGUGUUCUCGCAAGAGAGUGUGGGUUCAACUCCCUCCUUCGGCACAA
Molecule: transfer RNA, 87 nt
Filed under: Candidatus Microgenomates bacterium
Lineage: Bacteria; Candidatus Microgenomatota
Description: tRNA-Leu
Rfam family: tRNA
About the family: Transfer RNA (tRNA) molecules are approximately 80 nucleotides in length. Their secondary structure includes four short double-helical elements and three loops (D, anti-codon, and T loops).
Source: RNAcentral